CCACAACUACAACCGCACGUAAAGAGUUGAAGUUCCUUUUGGACACUCUGGUCGGCGAGUCUAAGUAUAAUA
This is a regulatory RNA element of Jeotgalibaca dankookensis, 72 nucleotides long. Lineage: Bacteria; Bacillati; Bacillota; Bacilli; Lactobacillales; Carnobacteriaceae. The record is from Rfam.